UACGGAGGAUGCGAGCGUUAUCCGGAUUUAUUGGGUUUAAAGGGUGCGCAGGCGGCCUGUUAAGUCAGCGGUAAAAGCCCGGGGCUCAACCCCGGCGAGCCGUUGAAACUGGCGGGCUGGAGUUGGAGAGAAGUACGCGGAAUGCGCGGUGUAGCGGUGAAAUGCUUAGAUAUCGCGCAGAACCCCGAUUGCGAAGGCAGCGUACCGGCUCCACACUGACGCUGAGGCACGAAAGCGUGGGUAUCGAACAGG
This 252-nucleotide non-coding RNA is filed under the name uncultured bacterium. Its description in RNAcentral is "partial 16S ribosomal RNA". It matches the Rfam family "Bacterial small subunit ribosomal RNA", at positions 524 to 776 of the family's 1533-position model. The record is from RNAcentral. RNAcentral also lists the same sequence under 1 other name.